RNAcentral lists this ribosomal RNA (497 nucleotides) under uncultured bacterium. Its description in RNAcentral is "partial 16S ribosomal RNA". It matches the Rfam family "Bacterial small subunit ribosomal RNA", at positions 28 to 507 of the family's 1533-position model. The record is from RNAcentral.
GAUGAACGCUGGCGGCGUGCCUAAUACAUGCAAGUCGAGCGAACAGACGAGGAGCUUGCUCCUCUGACGUUAGCGGCGGACGGGUGAGUAACACGUGGAUAACCUACCUAUAAGACUGGGAUAACUUCGGGAAACCGGAGCUAAUACCGGAUAAUAUAUUGAACCGCAUGGUUCAAUAGUGAAAGACGGUUUUGCUGUCACUUAUAGAUGGAUCCGCGCCGCAUUAGCUAGUUGGUAAGGUAACGGCUUACCAAGGCAACGAUGCGUAGCCGACCUGAGAGGGUGAUCGGCCACACUGUAACUGAGACACGGUCCAGACUCCUACGGGAGGCAGCAGUAGGGAAUCUUCCGCAAAGGGCGAAAGCCUGACGGAGCAACGCCGCGUGAGUGAUGAAGGUCUUCGGAUCGUAAAACUCUGUUAUUAGGGAAGAACAAAUGUGUAAGUAACUAUGCACGUCUUGACGGUACCUAAUCAGAAAGCCACGGCUAACUACGUG